Molecule: non-coding RNA, 46 nt
Filed under: Trichobilharzia regenti
Lineage: Eukaryota; Metazoa; Platyhelminthes; Trematoda; Strigeidida; Schistosomatidae
Source: RNAcentral
GUACUGAUGAAGAGUCCCAAAGUAGGACGAAACAACUGUGCAGUAC